GUUUGAUCCUGGCUCAGGACGAACGCUGGCGGCGUGCUUAACACAUGCAAGUCGAGCGGAAAGGCCCUUCGGGGUACUCGAGCGGCGAACGGGUGAGUAACACGUGAGUAAUCUGCCCCUCACUCAGGGAUAACCGCGGGAAGCUGCGGCUAAUACUUGAUAUGACCACGUCUCGCAUGAGGUGUGGUGGAAAGCGUUCAGUGGUGAGGGAUGUGCUCGCGGCCUAUCAGCUUGUUGGUGAGGUAGUGGCUCACCAAGGCUUCGACGGGUAGCCGGCCUGAGAGGGUGACCGGCCACACUGGGACUGAGACACGGCCCAGACUCCUACGGGAGGCAGCAGUGGGGAAUAUUGGACAAUGGGCGAAAGCCUGAUCCAGCAACGCCGCGUGAGGGAUGACGGCCUUCGGGUUGUAAACCUCUUUCACCUCUGACGAAGCGCAAGUGACGGUAAGGGGAGAAGAAGGACCGGCCAACUACGUGCCAGCAGCCGCGGUAAUACGUAGGGUCCGAGCGUUGUCCGGAAUUAUUGGGCGUAAAGGGCUCGUAGGCGGUUUGUCGCGUCGGGAGUGAAAACCAGGUGCUUAACACCUGGCUUGCUUCCGAUACGGGCAGACUAGAGGUAUGCAGGGGAGAAUGGAAUUCCUGGUGUAGCGGUGAAAUGCGCAGAUAUCAGGAGGAACACCGGUGGCGAAGGCGGUUCUCUGGGCAUUACCUGACGCUGAGGAGCGAAAGUGUGGGGAGCGAACAGGAUUAGAUACCCUGGUAGUCCACACCGUAAACGUUGGGCGCUAGGUGUGGGAUCCAUUCCACGGGUUCCGUG
This 820-nucleotide ribosomal RNA is filed under the name uncultured bacterium. RNAcentral describes it as "bacterial SSU rRNA". It matches the Rfam family "Bacterial small subunit ribosomal RNA", at positions 11 to 845 of the family's 1533-position model. The record is from RNAcentral.